GGAGAGGUGUCCGAGUGGUUGAUGGAGCGCGUCUCGAAAACGCGUAGGCUAACUGCCUCGUGGGUUCGAAUCCCACCCUCUCCGCCA
This 87-nucleotide transfer RNA is filed under the name Anaerolineae bacterium. Its description in RNAcentral is "tRNA-Ser". It matches the Rfam family "tRNA". From Rfam's summary of the family: Transfer RNA (tRNA) molecules are approximately 80 nucleotides in length. Lineage: Bacteria; Bacillati; Chloroflexota; Anaerolineae. The record is from RNAcentral.